UGAGUACGAGAUGCUACGGCAUCGAAGCAGUCUAUGUCAUACUUCCAAGAAAAGCUUGCAAUGUCAUAAACAAAUAAUGCCUGUACCAUAACCGACACAGGUGGGUAGGUAGAGUAUACUAAGGGGCGCGAGAUAACUCUCUCUAAGGAACUCGGCAAAAUGACUCCGUAACUUCGGGAGAAGGAGUGCCUUAUUUUUAUAAGGUUGCAAUAACAAGAUCCAAGCAACUGUUUACCAAAAACACAGGUCUCCGCUAAGUCGUAAGACGAUGUAUGGGGGCUGACGCCUGCCCAGUGCCAGAAGGUUAAAGAAGUUGGUUAGCAUUAGCGAAGCUGAUAACUGAAGCCCUGGUGAACGGCGGCCGUAACUAUAACGGUCCUAAGGUAGCGAAAUUCCUUGUCGGGUAAGUUCCGACCCGCACGAAAGGCGUAAUGAUUUGGAUACUGUCUCGGAGAGGGGCUCGGUGAAAUAGACUUGUCUGUGAAGAUGCGGACUACCUGCACCUGGACAGAAAGACCCUAUGAAGCUUUACUGUAACUUGAGAUUGAAAUUGGACUUUAUCUGCGCAGUAUAGGUGGGAGACGUUGAAAAUAUUCUUGCGCGGAUAUUGGAGUCAUCAGUGAGAUACCACUCUUAUAAUGUUAGAUUUCUAACUUUGUAUCAUUAUCUGGUCAAAGAACAGUUUCAGGCGGGCAGUUUGACUGGGGCGGUCGCCUCCCAAACGGUAACGGAGGCGCACAAAGGUUUCCUCUGAACGUGUAGAAAUCGUAUCUAGAGUGUAAAGGCAUAAGGAAGCUUGACUGUGAGACCUACAAGUCGAGCAGGGACGAAAGUCGGUCUUAGUGAUCUGACGGUGCUGAGUGGAAAGGCCGUCACUCAACGGAUAAAAGUUACUCUAGGAUAACAGGCUGAUCUCCCCCAAGAGUUCACAUCGACGGGGAGGUUUGGCACCUCGAUGUCGGCUCAUCGCAUCCUGGGGCGGUAGUACGUCCCAAGGGUUGGGCUGUUCGCCCAUGAAAGCGGUACGCGAGCUGGGUUCAGAACGUCGUGAGACAGUUCGGUCCAUAUCCGGUGUAGGCGUUAGAAUAUUGAGAGGAGCCUUCUUUAGUACGAGAGGACCGAGAAGGACAUACCUCUGGUGUACCAGUUAUCGUGCCAACGGUAAACGCUGGGUAGCCAUGUAUGGGGAGGAUAACCGCUGAAAGCAUCUAAGUGGGAAGCCCACCUCAAGAUAAGUAUUCUCAUCAU
Molecule: ribosomal RNA, 1248 nt
Filed under: metagenome
Description: bacterial LSU rRNA
Rfam family: Bacterial large subunit ribosomal RNA
Source: RNAcentral